AGUGGAUGGUAAUAUGGUAAUAAAAGGGUUGAGGGGUGUAGCUGGAUGGUAAUAUGGUAACGAGGGAGUUGAGGAGUAGCUGGAUGGUAAUAUGGUAACGAGGGGGUUGAGGAGUAGAUGGAUGUUAAUAUGGUAACGAGGGGUUGAGGAGUAGAUGAUGUUAAUAUGGUAACGAGGGGGUUGAGGAGUAGCUGGAUAUUAAUAUGGUAACGAGGGGGUUGAGGAGGAUCUGGAUGGUAAUAUGGUAACGAGGGGGUUGAGGAGUAGCUGGAUGGAUGGUAAUAUGGUAACAAGGGCGUUGAGGAGUAGCUGGAUGGUAAUAUGGUAACGAGGGGGUUGAGGUGUAGCUGGAUGGUAAUAUGGUAAUGGGGGGUUGAGGAGUAGAUGAUGUUAAUAUGGUAACGAGGGGGUUGAGGAGUAGCUAGAUGGUGAUAUGGUAACGAGGGGGUUGAGGAGUAGCUGGAUGGUAAUAUGGUAAUGAGGGGUUUGAGGAGUAGCUGGAUGGUAUUACAGUAAUGAGGGGUUUGAGGGGUAGCUGGAUGGUAAUAUGGUAACGAGGGGG
Oncorhynchus tshawytscha (Chinook salmon) is the source of this 562-nucleotide long non-coding RNA. NCBI's taxonomy places the organism in Eukaryota, Metazoa, Chordata, Actinopteri, Salmoniformes, Salmonidae. The record is from Ensembl.